Long non-coding RNA from Asparagus officinalis (garden asparagus), 695 nucleotides. RefSeq lists it as uncharacterized. The record is from RefSeq and is a predicted model, not a curated record. Lineage: Eukaryota; Viridiplantae; Streptophyta; Magnoliopsida; Asparagales; Asparagaceae. The transcript has 3 exons.
CUGAGCAGAGCGUAGAUCUGCCGUUCUCCUUCAUUAUCCUCGGGGUCAACUGCCGUACUCAUCAUCUUCACGGCCUACCGCCGCCCUCCCUAAGCACAAAAGGUUGGACCUCGUUCGGUCUGGUUCGAAUCAGUUAUUUGGCUCUGAUCGCCCUCCCUAACCUGAUGAGUAGAUGGUUGAGUGAAAUGGCUUGUUCUACCACGUAAGCUGUAAAGAAGUUGAAGUAAACUUUCUGUUUUGACAAAUAUUUGGGAUUUUAGGCAGUGGAAACUUUUAAGAUCUAACUAAUUAAUAUGUUAUGGCUGUGGAUGCUGGCUAACUCCCAACACUGAGGAUCAUUUUGUAUCUGUAUACCUUUUUUUUGUGAGUGGAUCAAAACUAUAAAAAGAGGAAUUUGUAUUUCUUGUUUCCCUUUCCCCCUCUUUUUCUGGUUGUUAUUUGCUGCUUUAUCUGUUUUCAAAAUAAAUUCGGAGCAUGAGCAUCAUUUGUGUAUCACCGUCGGGGAUGGAUGAGAUUGGGCUGGCAGUGGGCGGUUUUCAUGUGGACCGUUUGCGUCCGGCUUACAGGCUUAAGGCCCAGUAGGCAAGGCCUCGAAGCCUGUCUGGUUGGUUGAAGUGAAAGUGGUACUUAUUAAUUGACUAGGUUUUAUGCACAUGUAAUGCACAUAGCAAAAUAUCAUGAUUAAGUAUUUUUAA